CGGACGGGUGAGUAACGCGUGAAGGAUGACGGCCUAUGGGUUGUAAACUUCUUUUUUCAGGGAGGAAUCAAUGACGUGUACCUGAAGAAUAAGCAUCGGCUAACUCCGUGCCAGCAGCCGCGGUAAGACGGAGGAUGCAAGUGUUAUCCGGAAUCACUGGGCGUAAAGCGUCUGUAGGUGGUCAAAUAAGUCAACUGUUAAAUCUUGAGGCUUAACCUCAAAAUCGCAGUCGAAACUAUUAGACUAGAGUAUAGUAGGGGUAAAGGGAAUUUCCAGUGGAGCGGUGAAAUGCGUAGAGAUUGGAAAGAACACCGAUGGCGAAGGCACUUUACUGGGCUAUUACUAACACUGAGAGACGAAAGCUAGGGUAGCAAAUGGGAUUAGAUACCCCAGUAGUC
This 398-nucleotide ribosomal RNA is filed under the name uncultured cyanobacterium. RNAcentral's name for it is "bacterial SSU rRNA". It matches the Rfam family "Bacterial small subunit ribosomal RNA", at positions 383 to 795 of the family's 1533-position model. Lineage: Bacteria; Bacillati; Cyanobacteriota. The record is from RNAcentral.